AUCCAGCUGACGAGUUCCAAAUAGGAAGAAAAGCGCAUCUUGCAU
This is a non-coding RNA of Schistosoma mansoni, 45 nucleotides long. NCBI's taxonomy places the organism in Eukaryota, Metazoa, Platyhelminthes, Trematoda, Strigeidida, Schistosomatidae. The record is from Rfam.